AUUGAUGUCUCUGCUGAUGGGCCUCCAGUAGCCAAAUAUUGGAAACACCUUACAGUGUAACUCUGUGGUUUUAAUUUAUUUACAGGAUUAUUUCUAGGUUUGUCAGAAGGAACUACAAGGCAGGU
Small nucleolar RNA from Cricetulus griseus (Chinese hamster), 125 nucleotides. The record is from Ensembl. Lineage: Eukaryota; Metazoa; Chordata; Mammalia; Rodentia; Cricetidae.